AUGGCACUCGAGCUACUGGUAGUUGUUGCAGUCAUGUUGCACCUAGCCUCUACAUCAGCGCAGCCUGGCCCCGGAUGCCGAACGCGAUGUGGUGACGUCGACAUCCCUUACCCAUUUGGCAUUGGUGCUGGCUGUGCUAUUGAAGGCUUCGAGAUCAUUUGCCCGAGGACUGCCGAUGGAAUCGCCAAGCCGUUCAUGGUCAUUCAGAACGUGGAGGUUCUGGACAUCUCGGUGCCCCGUGGUCAAAUCCGAGUUUCCACGCCCGUGUCGACGUAAAUUACAAGAUCAAUGGAACAGAAUGCUUGGUCCCUUGACUUCUCGCGAAGUCCGUACCGCUUCUCCCAUGUACACAACAUGCUCAUAGUUAUUGGCUGCAACACACUCGCAUACAUCAAUGACUUCAGAAGCACUACAAGAUACACGACAGCGUGCGCAGCGGUGUGUGAGAGCCCGGCAGCCCUGACAAACGGUUCUUGUGUUGGUGCAGGCUGCUGCCAAAAUGAUAUGCCAAAGGGUUUAAGGAGCUAUAGAUUCAGUUUCUUUGAUGUUUAUGAUGAUUCCAAUACUACGCUUUUCAACCAAUGCAGCUAUGCUGCCGUGGUGGAGACACAGAUAUUUAGUUUCAGCUCGGAGUACAUAACGACUACAAGGUUCAAUGAUACCGAAAAGGGGCAGAAGCCGCUGGUGCUGGACUGGGCGAUUGGAAAUGCAACGUGUGAAAUGGCGAGAGACAUGCCUUCUUACGCGUGCCAUAGCAGGAAUAGCAUGUGUGUGGACUCAACCAACGACCCAGGUUAUAUAUGCAACUGCGCCGACGGAUAUGAAGGGAACCCUUACCUCUUUGACGGAUGCAGAGGCAAGUUCAGUUCUUUGUUCCCUAUGCCAAUGAAUGUGAGAAGAAUCCAAGUAUAUGCCCGAAGUCUGCAACAUGCCACAACACAAUAGGAGGGUAUCGCUGUUCAUGUUCUCCAGGCAGAAAGUUCGUAAUGGAAACAAAAUCUUGUAACCCAGACAUCACCCUAAUCAUAGGCAUUAGCAUUGGCGCUGUCGCUCUGGUGAUUAUCAUCUUCUGCAUACAUGUAAUAUUUGAGAGAAGAAAGCUUGCGAACGUCAAAAAUCAGUAUUUUCAGCAGCACGGAGGGAUGCUAUUGUUUGAGAAAAUGAAAUCAGAUCGGGGACUUUCAUUUACAGUGUUUAGUGAAGCAGAACUGGAACAGGCAACACAUAAAUUUGACAAAAGCCAGAUUCUUGGACAUGGAGGCCAUGGCACUGUGUACAAGGGGACAAUUAAGGAUAUCACUCCAGUGGCAGUUAAAAGGUGUUGGUGAUAGGCAGAAGAAGGAAUUCGGCAAAGAAAUACUGAUUCUUUCCCAGAUCAAUCACAAGAACAUUGUCAAGCUAUUGGGGUGUUGCCUUGAGGUGGAAGUCCCCAUGCUAGUAUAUGAGUUCAUCCCAAAAGGAACAUUUUUCGAUCUUAUUCAUGGCAAGAGCCGGAAACUGCACCUCUCUUUCAGUUCUCUUGUAAGGAUCGUCAAUGAGGCAGCUGAGGGGUUUGCAUUUUUACAUAACUAUGCAAACCCACCAAUUUUACUGGUGAUGUGAAAACCACUAACAUCCUUCUUGAUGAGAAUUACAUGGCAAAGGUAUCAGAUUUUGGUGCAUCUAUAUUAGCACCAACUGACAAAGCUCAGUUCGUUACAAUGGUUCAAGGGACAUGUGGUUAUCUGGACCCCGAGGAUAUGCAGACAUGUUGCUUGACAG
This 1761-nucleotide ribosomal RNA is filed under the name Triticum aestivum (bread wheat). RNAcentral's name for it is "partial small subunit ribosomal RNA". Lineage: Eukaryota; Viridiplantae; Streptophyta; Magnoliopsida; Poales; Poaceae. The record is from RNAcentral.